CGGCCCAGACUCCUACGGGAGGCAGCAGUAGGGAAUCUUCCGCAAUGGACGAAAGUCUGACGGAGCAACGCCGCGUGAGUGAUGAAGGUUUUCGGAUCGUAAAGCUCUGUUGUUAGGGAAGAACAAGUACCGUUCGAAUAGGGCGGUACCUUGACGGUACCUAACCAGAAAGCCACGGCUAACUACGUGCCAGCAGCCGCGGUAAUACGUAGGUGGCAAGCGUUGUCCGGAAUUAUUGGGCGUAAAGGGCUCGCAGGCGGUUUCUUAAGUCUGAUGUGAAAGCCCCCGGCUCAACCGGGGAGGGUCAUUGGAAACUGGGGAACUUGAGUGCAGAAGAGGAGAGUGGAAUUCCACGUGUAGCGGUGAAAUGCGUAGAGAUGUGGAGGAACACCAGUGGCGAAGGCGACUCUCUGGUCUGUAACUGACGCUGAGGAGCGAAAGCGUGGGGAGCGAACAGGAUUAGAUACCCUGGUAGUCCACGCCGUAAACGAUGAGUGCUAAGUGUUAGGGGGUUUCCGCCCCUUAGUGCUGCAGCUAACGCAUUAAGCACUCCGCCUGGGGAGUACGGUCGCAAGACUGAAACUCAAAGGAAUUGACGGGGGCCCGCACAAGCGGUGGAGCAUGUGGUUUAAUUCGAAGCAACGCGAAGAACCUUACCAGGUCUUGACAUCCUCUGACAAUCCUAGAGAUAGGACGUCCCCUUCGGGGGCAGAGUGACAGGUGGUGCAUGGUUGUCGUCAGCUCGUGUCGUGAGAUGUUGGGUUAAGUCCCGCAACGAGCGCAACCCUUGAUCUUAGUUGCCAGCAUUCAGUUGGGCACUCUAAGGUGACUGCCGGUGACAAACCGGAGGAAGGUGGGGAUGACG
This 865-nucleotide ribosomal RNA is filed under the name Bacillus subtilis. RNAcentral describes it as "bacterial SSU rRNA". It matches the Rfam family "Bacterial small subunit ribosomal RNA", at positions 327 to 1184 of the family's 1533-position model. The record is from RNAcentral. Lineage: Bacteria; Bacillati; Bacillota; Bacilli; Caryophanales; Bacillaceae.